Molecule: RNA transcript, 6194 nt
Organism: Uranotaenia lowii
Lineage: Eukaryota; Metazoa; Arthropoda; Insecta; Diptera; Culicidae
Gene name: band 4.1-like protein 5
Exons: 10
Source: RefSeq, a predicted model, not a curated record
CAAGGUUUCAGUUAAGAAACCCACAGGAAGAAGGAAAAUGAAACGAAAAAAAGCACUCGCCGGAGACCUUUAUGAGCAAGUCUUCUACUCGCUAGAUCUCAUUGAGAAAGAUUAUUUCGGGCUACAGUUUACCGACGCCAACAACGUCAAACACUGGCUGGAUCCGACCAAACCGAUCAAGAAGCAAGUCAAAAUUGGUCCACCGUACACACUUCGAUUGAAGGUCAAGUUUUAUUCGUCGGAGCCAAACACCCUGCGGGAAGAGCUGACCCGGUACCAAUUUUUUCUACAGUUGAAGCAAGACCUCCUAGAGGGCCGGCUAGAAUGUCCGGACGCGCAGGCCGUAGAACUGGCCGCCCUAGCGUUGCAAUCUGAGCUGGGCGAUUUUGACGAUACCGUCCACACGCCGGCGACCGUUUCCGAGUUUCGAUUCGUACCGAAUCAAACCGAAGACAUGGAGAUUGCAAUCUUCGACGAGUACCGAAAGUGCCACGGCAUGACGCCGGCCCAGGCUGAAAGCAGUUUCCUCAACAAGGCCAAGUGGCUGGAUAUGUACGGUGUCGAUAUGCAUACCGUUUUGGGCAAAGACGGUUGCGAGUAUCACCUAGGCUUAACACCAACGGGGAUCCUCGUCUUCGAGGGGAUACAGAAAAUCGGUUUGUUCUUCUGGCCCAAGAUAGGGAAGCUCGAUUUCAAGAAGAAAAAGCUAACGUUGGUCGUGGUGGAGGACGACGAUCACGGCCGGGAACAGGAGCACACAUUCGUCUUCCGAUUACACAACGAGCGGGCCUGCAAACACUUGUGGAAAUGUGCGAUCGAGCAUCACGCCUUCUUCCGGUUGCGGGCCCCAGUCAAAGGCAACUCGGCGCGGCAGAACUUUUUUCGCAUGGGAUCACGCUUCCGGUAUUCCGGCAAGACUGAGUUCCAAACGACGGUACAAAGCCGGGCCCGGAGAACGGUCCAGUUCGAGCGGAGACCUUCGCAACGGUUCGCCCGACGGCAAUCGCACGUACUUCGGGAACGACAAAAACAAGUCAGCCCGGAUCAGCAGCAGCAACAGAAUGCCGCGGUCGUCAAUGGUGAUGAUGCUCAGCACUCCACUUCCGGUACCUCAACUCCAUCCGCGAAUACGGUAAUUCACAAUCACAUCUCAGCGUCAGCGAGCAGCGCUUCCGACAUCGGAGUCCAAGUAGUCAACGGAAACCUACCGUCAAUAUGCUCGAAUAAAUCCGUCUCGUCCAGCGAAGAUGUCACCUUCGGCAAGCUGGGAUCGUUCGGAAAGGCUGGAAUCUCGUACCGAACUGAAGAACCAAUAGGUAAACUGAUCGACCAUGAUAUUCCGCCGAUCCGACCGCCCGGUUACCACCAUGGCGGUUCCUUUGGUAAAGCCUCCAUAAGUUCCGGGUUCAGUAUUAAGACGAAUUCCUCGGAUCGGGACAGCCAAAUUGAUACGCUGCUGAAGACGAUUGCCAAGGAUCCGUCGCCCUCGCUGCACGGAGUAGAACUGAACGAUGCUAGUAGCUUUAAGAUUACUAUUAACAAGACUUCGGAGCUGGAAACGAACAACGACACGUUGAAGAAGCUGGCCUCGGCUGUGGGUAGCCCCGGACCUGGUGGCGAGAAACCAAACAACCAGAUCAAGCUAUCAAACGCUGCCGUCAACUCGUUGCCCCCUAGCCAGAUCAAGUGCAAUAUCCUUAAAGCACGUGUAGAGGAAGAACUACAUCCGAAGCUUACCAACCACCAGCUCUACGUCCCAAGUCAACCGAUGAGUGAACUGACAGAUCCGAUUAGUGCAGCCACGUUUGUUUCGGUGGGAGGCGAUAAGUUAACCCUGAAUCUGACGGGCACCAUAACUCCAACGAUAAGUGGCCAUACCACAACCACAACUAUGAUCCCGAGUCCAACGGUGGUCACUCCCACGUCACCGAUUCAAGCGUUGAAAAGUUUCGUUCCGCCGGUGACUCCACCUCCCUCGCUCGUUUCUACCACCAGCACAACUGCCGUUCACAACAGCCUUCCGGAUCAAAGCUUGUUGCUGAUGGGCAGUCCCAGUAGCCCUACGGAUCACGUAACCGUAACCCACUUUUCCGAACAGAAAGGAGGCAUUGUGGAGAAAAUCAGUGUUCCCCCAUCACCAUUAUCCAUUGUCAACAACAAUAUUAGCUGUCUGCUUGAUACUUCCCUGGCAGUCUCACCUACUAACGAAAAACUGGCCAAUAAUAAUCCUUUCCUCAACAUGUCCACACCGUCCUCACCCACUGCCAUCUCGGUUUCGACGCCGAACAAAAUGUCAACCAACCCGUUCCACAAUAUUUCCGGUUCCUCAAGCAACAGUUCCGCAACCUCUGAUCCCACCGUACUUCAUCCUUUAUCGGAUUCCGUUACCAUUCCUAACAACAAUGCGGAGUUCAAGAGCAGUAAUCCUUUCAAAGAUAGUAGCAGCAGCAACUGUGAUCUAACGUCACAGCGAGCGCGUAGCAAAUCACCUGUCGCAAUCACUCGAACGGUAACAACAAGCAGCAAUGGCACCAGUAGGGCAACCUCACCCAGCACCAAAGUGGUGAGGAAUGGUGACGAACCGAAUUCGAAAGAUCGCAACAUUAAACGGACGGCCAGUUUCUUGCGAGGCGUCAAGAAGGCACUGGAUUCAGUGGUAUCGUCCACGGUGACGACAGCAGCGUCUAUCGAUUCGACGGAUGCACUUUCGUCCGGUCCGCAAAGCAAUGGAGGAGGAACUUUGGCGGACGAGAAGAAACUAAUCAAGAGUUCAAAAUGGCAAAUUCUAAAGAGCAGCGUUUAAAGCUUAUGCUGGAUUUGGAUUUUCCCAACUCUUUACUAGGCGAUUUUGGCGCUUGUGGAUUGAACUGGACAGAUUUUCUGGUUUGCUGCAGGGAAGAUUUAGAAGUCGAACUAUCCGCAGUAACCGAUCUACCUUGGGAUCAUGAUGGAGUUUUCCAAUCAAUAAAUUUAUGGCGAAAGCGUAAUGUAAGUAUUUGAAAUCGAAGUGGUUUUCUAUAAAUGUUCUUUUAUUUAAAAACGCGAGAGAUAAUUAAUUAGAAACUUACUUAGAAAUUCAGAUAAAUUUCACUCGAACGUCAUAGUGUAAUUCACUUGACCGGUCACUUAAAUGAAUUCACUUGACCCAUCACUUAAAAUUCAAAUGAAAUUACGUAUGGCGAGAAUUCACUACAGAUGUCACUUAUUUUUUAAGUGAAAAUUAUUUUGGGUGUUGAUCUUGUGCAAUCAACAAUAAAUAUAGUAUAUUCAAAUAUACUGGUAUAGUUGAUUUAAGUGUAAAUAUAAUCAACUAGUGUUUACUCUAGAAAUUUUAAGUUGAUUUUUAGGAAUAAUUUUAUCGGAGCGUUUUAUUUUCUCUUAAUUUUAUAUUUUGUUAGUGAAGAAACGCAUUUAUUUUAUGUCUGUGGUGCUGCUGUUACCCAGCCUAGGAAUUUGCGCACUUUGGACCGGUUAAUAUGAAUUUUCUUUCGGUCCUCCCAAUACGUCCUGCAAUUGAAAUAAAAUCUUAUUUUUCUAGAAAAAAGGAAUCUUUCAUAUUUAUAGUUAAAUGUGAGAGGUCAACCAGAAAUGUAUAGUUGAAUCUAUUAUAUUCAUAGUUGAGUGCUUAAAAUCAAUCAUACAAUUGUAGUUGAAUUUAUAAUAUUUACAGUUGAAUCGAUUAUACCAUUACAGUUGAAUCUAUAAUAUUCUAUUUUGUUUAUUUAUAGAGGAUUUUAACCAUCUUGGUCAUUCUUCCUCUGAGCUAUAAUAUUAAUAGUUAAAUGUGAGAGGUCAACCAAGAAUGUACAUAUAGUUGAAUCUAUUAUUUCUAUAGUUGAAUGCCUUAAAUCAAUCAUAGAAUUGUAGUUGAAUCUAUCAUGUUUACAGAUGAAUCGAUUAUACAAUUACAGUUGGAUCCAUUAUAUUCACAGUUCUUUGAAUAAGAUGAAUCAGCAGUUUGUCAAGUAUAUUUAUAGUUGAAUGCGAAAAAAUUAACUGCAUUUUGAUGAUUGGUAUAACUAGCUGAAAUAAUUGACACAACAAGCGUCUUUUUUCACCGUGUAGAAACGGAUCCAGGAUGUGUAACGACCAGAAUCGGGAUCAAGAUCUGGGAAUGUAUUAAAUUCGGGUUCAUGAUCAGAAGCCAUAAUUCGGAUUCGUGUUAACAAAUUAUCACCGCUGGUUUUUAUGAUUCUAAUUUCAUGAUUAAUGGCAUUUCGGUGAAGUAUACAUUCUAACAGGAAGAAAUUCAAAUGAAAGUAAUGAAAAUUAUAGACGGAUAGAUUAGAUUAGGAAGCAUGAAAGGUGUUGAAAAUGAGCCAAGAGCGUGAUUUGAGAAAACUUCUUGCCGCACAAGACCAUUUGUCCCACACCGUAUUAUUGUCUAGAAGAAGCAAAGUCGAUAGGCCGACUUUGUAUUUAUAGAUCAAUGUACGGGGUACGAAAAAUACGUGCUUCGAUCCAUCCAUGUAUCAUUGUAUAGAUCAAUGCAAAGUCAGCCUAUCGACUUUGCUUCUUCUAAACAAUAAUACGGUGUGGGACAAAUGGUCUUGUGCGGCAAGAAGUUUUCUCAAAUCACGCUCUUGGCUCAUUUUCAACACCUUUCAUGCUUCCUAAUCUAAUCUAUCCGUCUAUAAUUUUCAUUACUUUCAUUUGAAAUUCUUCCUGUUAGAAUGUAUACUUCACCGAAAUGCCAUUAAUCAUGAAAUUAGAAUCAUAAUUCGGAUUCAGGAUCAGAAUCCAGGAUCUGAAACCUAAAAAUUCAGACACAGGAUCCGGGAUCAGUCUUCAAGAUCAAGGAUUAAUAUUAACAUCAGGGGCCAGGAUCUGGAUCUGCAGAAAUCUGCAGAAAUUUGGAAUCAUGAUCAGAAACUGACAUCAGGGUUUAAGAUCUGGAUCAGAAUCCAGGAUCUAUGAUAAAUUUUCAUGAUCAGAAUUCAAGAUUCAGGUUUUUAGAAUCAGGAUAAAAAAAUCCAAGAUCAGGAUCGAGAAUCAAGAUCCCAGAUCAGAGGAUUCCUCAUUAAAUAGAACGUAUAAAAAGGGUCUACGAUAGAUUUGGGUAUCAGGAUUCAGGAUCAGGAUGAAUCUUUCAUCCUGAUUCUAGUUCCUGGGAAAAAAGAUCUAGAAUCAGGAUGAAAGAUUCAGUAUACGGUAUCAGAAUCAGGAUCGGAUUUUGGUUCAGGAAUAAAAAUCAAAUAAUAACUCGAAUGCUGAGAAAUGUUUUCCGACGCUCACUAGUGGUCAAGGGGUUAACUUCCUGAACUCUCAUGAUAGAUGUCGUGGGAUCAUUUCUCGGCUGUAUGACGAACUUUUAGCGCUGAUGUGGUCUAGCUAUUUAAACACCACAAAACAAAGCAAUCAGGAUCGGAUUUUGGUUCAGGAAUAAAAAUCAAAUAACAACUCGAAUGCUGAGAAAUGUUUUCCAAAAUGCAGACCCCAAUAAAAAUUUUCGGAUCAUAAAAUUACGGCUAAUUUCACUAACUGGUAAAAAAGCUCUUAAUAAAAUCGUUGAAGCUCCGUAUUUGUACCAUAACAGGUUCAUCGUUUGCAUGCAAUUGAAUCCAGGAGGUAAUGGAUUUGUACAUAUACUAAGUAGGGUAGGUACUAACCAAUAGUUCUACAGAAUGGUUUGCACUAUUAAGCACCACCGAAAAUCUUGUUAUAUCUCUUUAUUUUAACUAUACUCCAACUUACCGUAAGUAUUUUAACAGCAUUUUCCCCACCCGCUUGAUCCGAAUGAUCCCACCGUACGAAUGUUGCUAGACAAAAAUGGUUCUAUGGCCUGCCGUUUGCCCUAGAAAAACUCUUCCGCAUCUUCUUCACUACCGUUUGGCUACCUUUCUACAUGUAUCUAUUGUGUGUUUAUUCGUGUAGUGUGUUGUUAUGAGAAAACUCGUAAGCGUUAACUGCUUUGUGUUGUAAAUUGCUAUCGUAGAAUUGGAAAUUAACGCGUGACCAAUUGGUUUUCCUCUAAUAAAAGUUGAAUAUUUUUCCUUUGUCAAAAUUUACUCAAAAUUUAUACCAAAAACCACCUGACAACGAACGCACACAGGAAACACUGAAGGAAAACAUCAAACCCCACACGAUGGACAUUUCACCGUGGCUGGUGUCCUCGGACGUGGUGACGGGAUCGACCAAAUCCAAGGAAGCGACCAUCAUCCGCAAAUCGGUCAUCACGACGCAACUGUGAGCUG